RNAcentral lists this ribosomal RNA (592 nucleotides) under Saccharomyces cerevisiae (brewer's yeast). RNAcentral's name for it is "eukaryotic LSU rRNA". It matches the Rfam family "Eukaryotic large subunit ribosomal RNA", at positions 66 to 668 of the family's 3401-position model. The record is from RNAcentral. Lineage: Eukaryota; Fungi; Ascomycota; Saccharomycetes; Saccharomycetales; Saccharomycetaceae.
UAACGGGGGGGUAUGCCUUAAUUAUCGGCGAGUGAAGCGGCAAAAGCUCAAAUUUGAAAUCUGGUACCUUCGGUGCCCGAGUUGUAAUUUGGAGAGGGCAACUUUGGGGCCGUUCCUUGUCUAUGUUCCUUGGAACAGGACGUCAUAGAGGGUGAGAAUCCCGUGUGGCGAGGAGUGCGGUUCUUUGUAAAGUGCCUUCGAAGAGUCGAGUUGUUUGGGAAUGCAGCUCUAAGUGGGUGGUAAAUUCCAUCUAAAGCUAAAUAUUGGCGAGAGACCGAUAGCGAACAAGUACAGUGAUGGAAAGAUGAAAAGAACUUUGAAAAGAGAGUGAAAAAGUACGUGAAAUUGUUGAAAGGGAAGGGCAUUUGAUCAGACAUGGUGUUUUGUGCCCUCUGCUCCUUGUGGGUAGGGGAAUCUCGCAUUUCACUGGGCCAGCAUCAGUUUUGGUGGCAGGAUAAAUCCAUAGGAAUGUAGCUUGCCUCGGUAAGUAUUAUAGCCUGUGGGAAUACUGCCAGCUGGGACUGAGGACUGCGACGUAAGUCAAGGAUGCUGGCAUAAUGGUUAUAUGCCGCCCGUCUUGAAACACGGACCA